GUAACUAUAUUUUUUUAAUUUUCUGACUAGAUAAAUAGAUUCUAAAUCAUAUAAAACUUAAUGCUUUGAAUUAUUUAAUAAAUAUUCUAGUUUUUAGGAAUAACUUGAAAUUAUUAGAGUUUUAGUUAUACCAAUCAAAGGUAAACACCUAAAAAGGAGGAAAGGAAGGGGAGAAUUGAAUGUUGAUAUCUUUUUAAAAAUUAUGAUGAAUGUAAGAGACAAAUAAACAACAAUAUAAUAAAAUUUUUUAAUAAUAAUUAUAUAUAAAUAGAAAAAGUAAGGAAGAGAGGAGUGCAAACUCAAGAUUUUAUAGUGGUUAAGUGUAGUUUGACCUACAUUUACUUUCCUCGUAUUUCAAACCAAUUUGAGGGUUUUACUAUGAAUAAUGCUUCCAAUACGAGCCUCCAAGCAUAUAAUUAGAUCAUGGUUCAAAUCAACUCUUUUUGAUAUAUGACUUUAAGUAUCCUUUAGAUUAUGGUUUAAAUGAAUCCUUUACACCUUAUGAGAACAACACGAAUCCUCCAAGUGCUACACUAUCCUUAAAAUCCCUUAAGUGUUACCCUAUACUUAAGACUACCUCACAAGGUAUAUAAAUAUAGAUUUAACAAGAAUAUAACUUUUAGUUUAUAAUUGACACAAUAGAAAGCAAAGAAAACUAGAGUUGAAUAGUUCACUCGAGUAAUAUUUAUGAAGGAUUUUGAACCAUUACCUUUCCAAUACAAAAAUUUUGAAAUUUUUAAACAAGAGUUAGAAGCCCAAACUAGUAAUUGGGCAAUCAUUGAGUUGACCGUUGUCCAAUCGAUCUUCAACUAGUUCUUAACUAAUCAUUGCUUGAUAGAAACAUGUUUUUCUAGACUUAAAGCAAUUUUACUUCCCUCAAUUGAUUGAGCCUAAACGACUUAAUCGAUUCUCCUUUAUCUCGAUUGGUUGCACUAUUUUUACAAAUUUGAGAUUGGAUCAAGGCCAAGAAACCUUGACUAAUAGCUUCUUAAUCUUUGAAAACUCUUUAAAAUGAUUUUAACUACAUUAAAAAAUUGGAUUUUCCUUAAAUCAAAUUUUCACCAAUUUAUAAAAGAAUUAAAAAUACUUUAGCAUUUAGAUGAACUUACAAGAUAUAAACGCAUAAAUAAAAUAUGUAUUGCAUUAUGAUCUUAGUACACCAACAAACUUAUAAAAAAGAUUAAGGUCGUCCCUUUUCCUUGAUUUCCCUCUUGAUAUAUUUUUCAUUAUUUCUUUGAAAAUUUUCUUGCCAUAACACACUUAGAAUGAAUUCCUGGUUUUCAUCUAAAAUACUUUAUUCAUAAUAGAAUACUAAAUGUUUACAUGCAAUGAAAAUUUUGACUUAUUCAUCUUUUCUUAAAAAUAAAAUAAAAUAAAUUUUGCUUAUUUUUAAAUUAAAUAUUAAAUAAAAUAUUAUUAAGUAUUAUUAUUUUCAAAGGGUUAGUUUCAUUCAUCUCCACUAAAGUUUUAGCUAAAUACAUUUAAACCUCAUUGAUUUGAUAUUUUAUCAAAUACCUCCUUUAUUUUAAAUGAGAGAAAAGAUGAGUGAAAGCAAACAAAUGAAAAUGAUAAAAAAUGUAUUUGAUGAAAUUUUUAAACAAAUGAGAGUUGGAUUUAUUUAACUAAAAUCCUCAGGUAAAUGAAAUUAACCUUAUUUUUAAAUUAUCAUUUAUUUUUAACAAAAAAAUAAAAUCAAUUAUGUGUUUAUGAGAUUAUUAAUACCCAUACAUUUAUAAUAUAUACUUAACAUAGUGUCAUUCUUUUUAUAAAAAAAAAUAAUUUAUG
Molecule: long non-coding RNA, 1785 nt
Filed under: Vitis vinifera (wine grape)
Lineage: Eukaryota; Viridiplantae; Streptophyta; Magnoliopsida; Vitales; Vitaceae
Description: long non-coding RNA (VVIN_LNC005017)
Source: RNAcentral